RNAcentral lists this long non-coding RNA (244 nucleotides) under Manihot esculenta (cassava). RNAcentral's name for it is "long non-coding RNA (MESC_LNC012675)". Lineage: Eukaryota; Viridiplantae; Streptophyta; Magnoliopsida; Malpighiales; Euphorbiaceae. The record is from RNAcentral.
CCGAACCUUCCUUCGGCGGCCGAAACUGGAAUUGCCAGUAAGGCAGAACCCUGCUCUACUUCAUGCAAACCAACCCAAACUUCACUCAAACAUGCAACCAACAAAAUCACAACCUGCAUAUACUCAAGUAUAGGCACAAAGGGGUCCAAAACUAACUGAAAACCCCAACAAACAUCACAACUAAACACAUAAGCAUGCUUUGACCACAAAUCAACCAAACCUCAACUUACCCUAAACAUGCAUC